CAACAGCUAUUAUUUACUUGAUUUUGAUAUCCUACGUGGAUAACUGUGGUAAUUCUAGAGCUAAUACAUGCACCAAAGCUCUGAUUCAUGAAGAGCGCAUUUAUUAGACUAAAACCAAUCGGGCGUAAGCUCGUGUUUUGGUGACUCUGAAUAGCUACAGCUGAUCGCAUGGUCAUGUACCGGCGACGUGUCUAUCAAGUGUCUGCCUUAUCAACUUUCGAUGGUAGUUUAUGUGCCUACCAUGGUUGUUACGGGUAACGGAGAAUAAGGGUUCGACUCCGGAGAGGGAGCCUGAGAAACGGCUACCACAUCCAAGGAAGGCAGCAGGCGCGCAAAUUACCCACUCUCGGCAUGAGGAGGUAGUGACGAAAAAUAACGAGACCGUUCUCAAUGAGGCCGGUUAUCGGAAUGAAUACAAUUUAAACCCGUUAAUGAGGAUCUAUGAGAGGGCAAGUCUGGUGCCAGCAGCCGCGGUAAUUCCAGCUCUCAAAGUGUAUAUCGUCAUUGCUGCGGUUAAAAAGCUCGUAGUUGGAUCUGCGCUUGAGGACUUGGUCCACCAUUUCGGUGCUGAACUGAGCUCCUCGGCUAUACAAUAUGCUGGUUUUCCUUACGUUGCCUUUACCGGUCGCGUAAGGUGGCUAGCGAGUUUACUUUGAAAAAAUUAGAGUGCUUAAAGCGGGCAAUAAAGUCUGAAUAUUUGUGCAUGGAAUAAUAGAAUAGGAUCUCGGCUCUAUUUUGUUGGUUUUCUGAUCUGAGAUAAUGGUUAAGAGGGACAGACGGGGGCAUUCGUAUCGCUGCGUGAGAGGUGAAAUUCUUGGACCGUAGCGAGACGCCCGACUGCGAAAGCAUUUGCCAAGAAUGUCUUCAUUAAUCAAGAACGAAAGUCAGAGGUUCGAA
RNAcentral lists this ribosomal RNA (897 nucleotides) under Parapharyngodon cubensis. RNAcentral describes it as "SSU rRNA". It matches the Rfam family "Eukaryotic small subunit ribosomal RNA", at positions 104 to 1002 of the family's 1831-position model. The record is from RNAcentral. Lineage: Eukaryota; Metazoa; Nematoda; Chromadorea; Rhabditida; Pharyngodonidae.